GGUGAACCCUCUUCGGAGGGGGAUCAGUGGCGAACGGGUGAGUAACACGUGAGCAACCUGCCCCUGGCUCUGGGACAACCACUGGAAACGGUGGCUAAUACCGGAUACGACCCGCCACCGCAUGGUGUGUGGGUGGAAAGUUUUUCGGCUGGGGAUGGGCUCGCGGCCUAUCAGCUUGUUGGUGGGGUGAUGGCCUACCAAGGCGACGACGGGUAGCCGGCCUGAGAGGGCGACCGGCCACACUGGGACUGAGACACGGCCCAGACUCCUACGGGAGGCAGCAGUGGGGAAUAUUGCACAAUGGGCGCAAGCCUGAUGCAGCGACGCCGCGUGAGGGAUGACGGCCUUCGGGUUGUAAACCUCUUUCAGCUCCGAAGAAGCGCAAGUGACGGUAGGAGCAGAAGAAGCACCGGCUAACUACGUGCCAGCAGCCGCGGUAAUACGUAGGGUGCAAGCGUUGUCCGGAAUUAUUGGGCGUAAAGAGCUCGUAGGCGGUGUGUCGCGUCUGCUGUGAAAACUCAGGGCUCAACUCUGAGCUUGCAGUGGGUACGGGCACACUUGAGUGCUGUAGGGGAGACUGGAAUUCCUGGUGUAGCGGUGAAAUGCGCAGAUAUCAGGAGGAACACCGGUGGCGAAGGCGGGUCUCUGGGCAGUUACUGACGCUGAGGAGCGAAAGCAUGGGGAGCGAACAGGAUUAGAUACCCUGGUAGUCCAUGCCGUAAACGUUGGGCGCUAGGUGUGGGGUCCAUUCCACGGAUUCCGUGCCGCAGCUAACGCAUUAAGCGCCCCGCCUGGAGAGUA
Molecule: ribosomal RNA, 801 nt
Filed under: Kineococcus sp.
Lineage: Bacteria; Bacillati; Actinomycetota; Actinomycetes; Kineosporiales; Kineosporiaceae
Description: bacterial SSU rRNA
Rfam family: Bacterial small subunit ribosomal RNA
Source: RNAcentral